RNAcentral lists this ribosomal RNA (407 nucleotides) under uncultured bacterium. RNAcentral describes it as "partial 16S ribosomal RNA". It matches the Rfam family "Bacterial small subunit ribosomal RNA", at positions 30 to 526 of the family's 1533-position model. The record is from RNAcentral.
AUUGAACGCUGGCGGCAGGCCUAACACAUGCAAGUCGAGCGGAGCGGCGGACGGGUGAGUAAUGCCUAGGAAUCUGCCUGGUAGUGGGGGAUACCGUCCGGAAACGGGCGCUAAUACCGCAUACUAUCAGAUGAGCCUAGGUCGGAUUAGCUAGUUGGUGGGGUAAAGGCCUACCAAGGGGACGAUCCGUAACUGGUCUGAGAGGGUGAUCAGUCACACUGUGACUGAGACACGGUCCAGACUCCUACGGGAGGCAGAAGUGGGGAAUAUUGGGCAAUGGACGAAAGGCUGAUCCAGCCAUGCCGCGUGUGUGAAGAAGGUCUUCGGAUUGUAAAGCCCUUUAGGUAGGGAGGCGUUACCAACAGAAUAAGCAACGGCUAACUACGUGCCAGCAGCCGCGGUAAUAC